Mycena leptocephala is the source of this 108-nucleotide non-coding RNA. The record is from the annotation of a GenBank genome assembly. Lineage: Eukaryota; Fungi; Basidiomycota; Agaricomycetes; Agaricales; Mycenaceae.
GGGCAAAUAGUGUAGUUGGUUAUCGCGCCCGCUUCGCAUAUGUUGUUACCACGUGACAUGAUUACGUAAUCAUGCGGGAGGUGCUGGGUUCAAUUCCCAGUUUGUCCA